GUCCUCAUAGUUCAAUGGAUAGAACAGCCCCCUCCUAAGGGGCAGAUGUAGGUUCGAUUCCUGCUGGGGAUACCA
Molecule: transfer RNA, 75 nt
Filed under: Candidatus Altimarinota bacterium
Lineage: Bacteria; Candidatus Altimarinota
Description: tRNA-Arg
Rfam family: tRNA
About the family: Transfer RNA (tRNA) molecules are approximately 80 nucleotides in length. Their secondary structure includes four short double-helical elements and three loops (D, anti-codon, and T loops).
Source: RNAcentral